AAAUUAGUCCUGAUGUUAAUGAAUAAAAUAGCAUCAAGUUUUGCUCUGGAAGCUGGUUUACCGACUCUUCCUGUCUGCAGGAGACUGGAAAAGCUGUGAAAUUGAUACAAGACUAAAAGAUUGUUUGGAAUCAGCAGAACUAUUAGAAAAAUAAACUUAAGACCAAACAGUAAGUUAAUAUCCAGAGUAAGACUUUGAGGGAGCAUCCAGCGCCAUGCCCUGUGGUAGGAGAUGACUAAUGGCUUCUUCACACCCAGCUGCUUCUCAGCUCAAGGAGGAAAAUGAAGCAGCUUUUACAGCUGCUGAAGCAAUGAACGUGUGUCAGGAGAACAAACAACACAGUGGAGCAGUAAUUACACUCAGGGUGGAGCAGCUUCAGCUCACAGGUUCCACUUCCACAGGAGACCUGCUGCUGCAAGGCUUUAAACGCACUCAAGAAGGACAUUUUUUAGGUUCCUUCAGCUGGGAAAGAUGGAGGUGAUGUGCCCCCCCCCCAUGCUUUCAAUGACAACUCCAGAGUUCAGUUAUUCAUAUUUCAUCAGAGCUUCC
This is a long non-coding RNA of Oryzias melastigma (Indian medaka), 549 nucleotides long. RefSeq lists it as uncharacterized. The record is from RefSeq and is a predicted model, not a curated record. The transcript is spliced from 3 exons. Lineage: Eukaryota; Metazoa; Chordata; Actinopteri; Beloniformes; Adrianichthyidae.